RNAcentral lists this ribosomal RNA (463 nucleotides) under uncultured bacterium. RNAcentral's name for it is "partial 16S ribosomal RNA". It matches the Rfam family "Bacterial small subunit ribosomal RNA", at positions 28 to 507 of the family's 1533-position model. The record is from RNAcentral.
GAUGAACGCUGACAGAAUGCUUAACACAUGCAAGUCUUUGGCGAAGCUGUGCUUGCACAGCCUAGCCAAGGCGGACGGGUGAGUAACGCGUAAGGAACUUGCCCUGCAGUCAGGGAUAACAGACGGAAACGACUGAUAAGACCUGGUAAAGUCAGGCGGACUCAUGUCCAGCCUGCUGAAAAGUGAUGCUGCAGGAGAGCCUUGCGUCCUAUUAGCUUGUUGGUGGGGUAACGGCCCACCAGGGCGAUGAUAGGUAGCCGGCCUGAGAGGGUGGACGGCCACAAGGGGACUGAGAUGCGGCCCUCACUCCUACGGGAGGAAGCAGUGGGGAAUAUUGGACGAUGGGGGCAACCCUGAUCCAGCAAUUCUGUGUGCACGAUGAAGGUUUUCGGAGUGUAAAGUGCUUUCAGCAGGGAAGAAAAAAAUGACGGUACCGGCAGAAGAAGCUACGGCUAACUACGUG